GUUUAAUUUAAUAGGUGAAAUGACCCUAAUACCCUAGAUAUAUAAAAAAUAAAAAUAAAUGAUUUUUUUUUAUAGUUUUAGAUUAUAUGUUUUUUAAUUGUGAACUUUUUUAUAAAUUUUUUUUUUAUAAAUAUUUUUUUUUGAAUAUUUUUUUCGAAUUUUUUAUUUAUUUAUUUUUCAAAAUUUAUUUUUGUAAUUCAAAAAUACUUUUUGAAACUAUUUUUAAAAUUUUUAUAUUUAAAUUUUUAAUUUUAAUUUUUUAUUUUAUAAAAUUUUAAACCCCAAUCUCAA
This 291-nucleotide long non-coding RNA is filed under the name Brassica napus (rape). Its description in RNAcentral is "long non-coding RNA (BNAP_LNC012352)". Lineage: Eukaryota; Viridiplantae; Streptophyta; Magnoliopsida; Brassicales; Brassicaceae. The record is from RNAcentral.